UGGGGAAUUGUUCGCAAUGGGCGCAAGCCUGACGACGCAACGCCGCGUGGAGGAUGAAGAUCUUCGGGUCGUAAACUCCUUUCGAUCGAGACGAACGACUUCCGGGUGAACAAUCCGGAAGAGUGACGGUACCGAGAGAAGAAGCCCCGGCUAACUCCGUGCCAGCAGCCGCGGUAAUACGGGGGGGGCAAGCGUUGUUCGGAAUUACUGGGCGUAAAGGGCUCGUAGGCGGCCAACUAAGUCAGACGUGAAAUCCCUCGGCUUAACCGGGGAACUGCGUCUGAUACUGGAUGGCUUGAGUUCGGGAGAGGGAUGCGGAAUUCCAGGUGUAGCGGUGAAAUGCGUAGAUAUCUGGAGGAACACCGGUGGCGAAGGCGGCAUCCUGGACCGACACUGACGCUGAGGAGCGAAAGCCAGGGGAGCAAACGGGAUUAGAUACCCGUGUAGUCC
This 450-nucleotide ribosomal RNA is filed under the name uncultured bacterium. RNAcentral's name for it is "bacterial SSU rRNA". It matches the Rfam family "Bacterial small subunit ribosomal RNA", at positions 355 to 796 of the family's 1533-position model. The record is from RNAcentral.